Molecule: ribosomal RNA, 872 nt
Filed under: uncultured Bacillota bacterium
Lineage: Bacteria; Bacillati; Bacillota
Description: bacterial SSU rRNA
Rfam family: Bacterial small subunit ribosomal RNA
Source: RNAcentral
ACGCUGGCGGCGCGCCUAACACAUGCAAGUCGAACGGAGUCAAGAGGAGCUUGCUUUUCUUGACUUAGUGGCGAACGGGUGAGUAACGCGUGAGUAACCUGCCCUGGAGUGGGGGACAACAGUUGGAAACGACUGCUAAUACCGCAUAAGCCCACGGAUUCGCAUGGAUCUGCGGGAAAAGGAUUUAUUCGCUUCAGGAUGGACUCGCGUCCAAUUAGCUAGUUGGUGAGGUAACGGCCCACCAAGGCGACGAUUGGUAGCCGGACUGAGAGGUUGAACGGCCACAUUGGGACUGAGACACGGCCCAGACUCCUACGGGAGGCAGCAGUGGGGGAUAUUGCACAAUGGGGGAAACCCUGAUGCAGCGACGCCGCGUGGAGGAAGAAGGUUUUCGGAUUGUAAACUCCUGUCGUUAGGGACGAUAAUGACGGUACCUAACAAGAAAGCACCGGCUAACUACGUGCCAGCAGCCGCGGUAAAACGUAGGGUGCAAGCGUUGUCCGGAAUUACUGGGUGUAAAGGGAGCGCAGGCGGACCGGCAAGUUGGAAGUGAAAACUAUGGGCUCAACCCAUAAAUUGCUUUCAAAACUGCUGGCCUUGAGUAGUGCAGAGGUAGGUGGAAUUCCCGGUGUAGCGGUGGAAUGCGUAGAUAUCGGGAGGAACACCAGUGGCGAAGGCGACCUACUGGGCACCAACUGACGCUGAGGCUCGAAAGCAUGGGUAGCAAACAGGAUUAGAUACCCUGGUAGUCCAUGCCGUAAACGAUGAUUACUAGGUGUUGGAGGAUUGACCCCUUCAGUGCCGCAGUUAACACAAUAAGUAAUCCACCUGGGGAGUACGACCGCAAGGUUGCAACUCAAAUGAAUUGACGG